RNAcentral lists this long non-coding RNA (8491 nucleotides) under Marmota monax (woodchuck). Lineage: Eukaryota; Metazoa; Chordata; Mammalia; Rodentia; Sciuridae. The record is from RNAcentral.
CUUUGUAACGUAGAGGGAAGUCCUCUUUAUAUGCCCAGUAGGUGGCUUCUGAGGGCUCUGUCCUUAUUACCCCUACAUGGAACGGAGAGAGGAGUUGGCAGACACAAGCCAGACAGUUCUGCUCUUUCUGAUCCAUGCAUUUAGACUUAGAUGUAAUUAAAGAUGUAUUUUAAGUAAGGUAUGUUAUUUCGGAAUAUCCUUCACUGUGAUUGCUUAAACUCUGUGUGUCAGAAAAACCAUAGCUUUUUUAUCUCCUGUUACAAUGUGAGGGAAGUGCUCUGAACCAGCAUUCCAGAGAUCUUAUCCACUAGCUUAGCAUACUGUCUUCCUUGGCCUGCAGUUUUUUAAGCGGGAAAAUGAGUGAUUUAAUAUAUGGUCAUCCUAAAAAUGGCUACUUAUGCCUGCAUAUUAGUCUGAAGAAAGAGUUCUCCUGGUCACAAACUUACUACUUGAAUAGUUUAUAAAGCAAUAGCUUCAAUUUAUGUAUGUGGCAACCAGACUUCAAAGCAGAAUUUUCUAAAGUUCAGGCACUAUACAAAGAUCUCAGGGAAUAUGGCCAUUUCCCCAUGCCAUUUUAAUCUUACAUUUAGAUACACUACUUUAUGCUUUUUAAAUUGACUCAUUUUUUGAUGUAAUUUUAUUUCAAAAGGGAGCAUAUCACUUUUAAGUGGAAAAGUAAUAUCACUUUCUGUGAAUAGAAGAUUUUCUUAAAAUAUAAUGAAAACCAUGCAGAGCUAUUAAAUUCUAGCUAGGUAGUAUUGCCUGUGAAAACCAAGUCCAAACUCUGCCCUUUAUUAGGCUUAAUGAAUAAUAUUAGGUGAGAGUAAAAGGCAUAGACACUAAUCAAAAAGAUUUAAAGAGAAUUUUCUUGAAAAUUAUCUUACCUACCAUCCUACUCUAGAAUAAACACUAUAAGCAACAGAAGGUUAAUCACUGAAAUUUCUUGACUAUCUAUAUAAAGCAAAAAUAUUAAUAUUUAUUUAAAGGCAUAUUUAACUACAUGCAGAUGGAUGUUGCCUCUUGAGGUUUUUAAGUAAGGUAUGUUGUUUUGGAAUUUCCAUAAGUUACUGACCAGCAUUAUCAAUUACAGUAGUUGACAUUAUUCUGACCUUACAGGAAUUAUCUGUUUUUUGAUCUGAGAAUGAAAAAAAUAGUUCUUCCAAUGCCUCUGUUUGAGAGUUCAAAGAGAUUUCCUGGGCAGUCAUGUCAUACCAUCACUUUUGGGCCCAGCAUUCCAGACCUGAAAAAAAUCCCGAGAGUUAUCCAGAUAACUUCCUCAGUUACCCACUUACUAGUCGAUUCUUGAUUUGGCAGUCUUAAUCAUAAAAGCAAAGUUUCCAGUUUCCAUAUAAAUUAAUUGAAAAUGUCCAUAUUUGCCAUAAACACUGAAGGAAUGAGAUCUUAAGUAUAGCAUAUAUUUUGGAUUGUGCAUUUAUAAGCACUAAAGUGUCUCAGAAUUGAAGCGUGUUGGAUAAAAGUUGUCCUGACUUAAAUAGGUUCUUAAAUCCUUUUUGGCAUAUAGGAGGGCAUAAACAAAUAUUUGAUGUCUUCAUGCUUGUGACUCAGCACUAUGUUAUUCUUCAGUAAUAUCUUUAAAUCUUCCUCUAGUCAGGACCAUUUGCCUCUGUUUGCUGCAGGCAAAAUAAAUUUGGCUGCUUUUAAUAUUUUUCAUUCUAAAACUGCCUAAUAGUUUGCAUCCCUCUUCUAGUUUACUGUGUAUUAGGAAAACAUUGGUUCAAACUUGUAAGUAGCUUAAGAAUAAAUAGAUUAUAAGAGAGAGGAUCUGGUGCUUGAGUUUUGAUGUAUGACUUGGGCUUUUCAAAAUGUGGGUAUUUGUCUAUCCUGUUCUUGACUGUGUUCAGAGAGCAGUAUUUAGCUUUAUGCUUAUUUUGAAUAGCAAGAUCUAAUUACUUUGACCAGAGACUUUCUUUAUAUAGUACACUGAUCUUAGAAACUUCCCACAAAAAAAACCCAAGUGCUAGAACUAUUGGCUGGUUUUCUCUCCAGGUGUUCAGGUUUUAGAUUAGCAAUGUGGACUCACACUCUCAAUGAAAAGUAAUGAUUUUGGUUCCAAAAGAACUUGCUUUACCAAAAAUGUACUACAGUACAUAGCAUGUCCAAGACUUUUAGAUGGAUUUUAUUGCUUUGUUUUGUGCCUGAGACUUGAUAACAUCCCCAAAUAUUGGAAAUUUUCUUCUAGGACCUUAAGAGCACAUUUUGCUUUUUAGUUACAGAGAUUUGUUUCCAAUCAAUUUGAAAGAAAGUAAAUUUUCACAGAUUAAGAAAAGUAAUUAUGAAGCACUAUAGCAAAAUAGUAAUGGAAAAGGUCUUCAUUUUGACAACAAAAACUUGUAAUAGUUUUUCCUUUGGUUUAUUUGAGUAUUGCACAGAGUAUCUUAUACAUUAAUGUUACCUUGGAAAAAUUCUGACUAAAUUUAAAGGUGCAAUGAAAUGAAAUUGACAAUCCAGUACUCUCCAAUUGCACAGUGAAAAAUAAGGAGACUUUCCCAUGGCUAGUUAAGAGAGAGGAAAAAAAUAGAGGGACCUAAGUAUUUUCUUUCUAAGUCUCACUGUAUUAAAAUUUAUCUUUAAUUUAAACAUUUUCUUUUCAGUAGUAACUAACUAACUGGAAUUGAGGGCUUAAAAAUUUUUAAUGUCACUUUCAUGUUGAAUGUUUCCAAACAAGUUUUCAUCCUUUUAACAAGCAUGGGUUUAGAGCUAAAGUUUUGUUUUAAAAAGUGGGAGAGGUUUUGUGUGCAUGAGCUUGCAGUACCUGCUUAAGUAUCUCAACAAGUGGUUAAGCCAGUGAAUUUAAAAUAGAAGCUAAAUGUAGAUUUUUCAUACUAGUUUACAUCUAGAAUUAAGCUAGAUGAUUUACUGUUUUACUUUUACCAGAUACUUGCAUCUUUAUUUUAUUUGAUGCUCCACUGAGGUCUGCCCUACCAAGGGGACAGGAGAAGGAAAUUUUAUGCUAUGAAAGAGAAUUUGCUGUACACAUCAUUUUCAAAUAAUCCCCAGAUGUAAACUGGGUGUUAUUUGUUUUCUUGAUGUAUUUUCCCACAUUGACUUGCUUCAUCCUGACUUUUGACAUUGAUAUGAAAAUUCAAAGCUAAUUUAAGUAGAAUGUGAAAGAACCAGUUUGUGAAAGCAUGUCAUGUAGAACUAGAGGAAUGAACCUGUUGCAAUUAGGAAACAUCCUCUGGCUUGGGGUGAGAUGUGCUCCUAAACAGAGUUUCCCAAAGUAUUCCAUGAAUCCAGCAGUCCUGAUCUGCCCAAGAAAGCUGGGAUACUUUGCAUAUUAUAAUCCCUCUUCUCAGGGAUUCAGAUGCUACAUACAUAUUAGGGCUUCUGAGAAACGUUGCCACUUCUAUUAAAAUUCUGAGGUUUGAGUUCUAGCACUGCAAAUAAUAAAUUUCAAGGAAGUAGGGUCCUUUUAAACAGUUUGAGAAGACUCCAUUGAUCAUACUCAAAAACAUUGGGUUAUCAUACUGUAUACCCUAGCUUCCUCACUUUCCUAUAUCCACAUUACUGUGGUUUCUAUGCCAUUUGUACUGUAUUGAAAGGUUUUAGUCAGAGAUAGGGAUCUUGUAUCUUGUUUCUCUUUGUAGGUGAUGCUCAAUUGGGUGUUUAUGUUUAAAGGAAGUGUACAUCUUUAAAGCCUCCCUAAACAAAUCUGAUGUGGAAAAUGGCAAUACUGUUUAAAAACUGUGUGUACUACUACCUCAACUUUGAAAAUAAUUUAACCUGUUCAGCUUCUUGAUUGGUAGAAGUGGCCUAGAUUUCAUAGACAUACAUAGAUGAUUUAGCCUUCAUAUCUUAUUCAAGAAAACUCCAGAUGGACCACUGUUCAUCUUAUGCCCAUUUCUGGGAAAACAUGGACUACAAAGGCAAGUGGUAAUGAGGAUCUUAAGUAAGCACAUUUUAUUAUUACCAUAUGGGUCAAGUGGAUGCUGAGAAGUGACCUCUAGGCAACAAUCUUGUGUUCCCAGAAAGCUCUGAGGUUCAUUACAAUUAAAUGUCAUGAUGUUCCUUUGGCUUUAGAAGCUAUAAAGAUCAACUAAACUGUUUUCCUUCAAGAUUCUCAUUGUUACUUUAGAGUAAUUAAUUUGUUUCUGUAAAAGGCAUUUAAUGGAAAGUCAGAUUUGCUAAGCCAAUGUUACAGUCAACAAUUUCUAUGAAAAGGUAGGGAAAUACAGUGUAUUCUAGAUAGAACUAAAACCUGAAUUGUGAAUGAGGCACAAAGAGUAGCUGAUUGCCCAUCAAUUAUAAUUUCAGAUACAGUCACUUGACAGGGUUCCAAAUUUGCCAUUUCUAACACAGGUUAGUGAGAAAGUGAAAAUUUGUCCUUUAGUUAGUUUUACCUCUUAAGUAGUUGGGGCGUUCAGGAAAAUAAAUUAGGUACAAAGGAUAAGAUAAUUAAAUUAAUCCUAGAACUUUAAGUUAAGCAAUAUUUGAUUUACUGGUAUCUGUAUACUGAGAGGUUUCGGGCUUCCUAUCCAUCUUUACAUAUUUGUAUGUUAAAGCCAUUUUGAGAAUAGUAUUUAUUAUGAAGAAAAUAAAGUAUCAAGUCCUCAUGCAGAUGAUGUACAAAAGGAGAAUUUCCUUUUUCUAUAAUCCUUUCAUUUUACCAAUUUAAAAAAAAGGGCAAAAAUAUUUAUUUGUUUUUAAAAAGGACCAUCUUAUUGUGAUGCAUUGCCUCAAGUUUUGCAAACUGCUGAAGUACCAUAAAUUCUAAAAGAAAGCCAGCUUUUUAAUUCUUAUUGAUUCAUUAUAGUCUCAAACACCAUUUUAGAUUAGAAAGCAACCCAUUUAGUUGCUUGAGGGUUUAUUAGGGACUGCUGAGGACUGAACCCAGGCCUUCACGCAUUCAUGCAUGCUAAGCAUGCACUCUACCACUGAGCUAUACCGCCAGCACCUGCCUCCACUUUUGUGUGUGUGGUGCUGGGGAUUGAACCCAGGGCUUCACACAUACUGGGCAAGUGCUCUCACACUGAGCUACAUCCUCAGCCCCACCAGCCUCUCUUUUGAAAGCUCUGGGAACAUUCAAAAUUAUGAUACUGGAAACCUUUUCUUCAAAGCAUCAUAAAACUCACCCCAAAUCUAGAUCAUGGUUUUGACAAAUGAGUUUUAUUCAUUUUUAAUAAUUAUAAAUAUUUAUAAUGUUUAAUCAAUUGCAAACUAAUGAUUUUAAUAUUAAUUCAAAUCAUAAGAAUGUUUAACUUAUACAUAGUUUGGUAUAAAGAAAUAUAACAGGAUAAUCAAAUGACUAAAGAAUCAAAUGACAUCAUUAGGGUUCUAUUUUGUAGUGGAAGUGAAAAGGAAAUACAAUUUCAGGGGGAAAACAUGUUAAACUUUCAUUUGUAGGUACUUCUAAAAAUGCAUGAUAUGGUAUUUGUAUUUUGUUGGAUAUAUUUUAGUGAUGUAAGUUUUAAAUGUUUUGCUUUAUUUAAAAAGGACAGUAUGGAUAAUAUGCCAGAAAUUCUAUUUUUGUGCAAUCAUGGAAGCUUAUAAUGAAACUUUGAGGUCAAUUUAUAUGUGUGAGAAGUAUGUAGUUUUUUGAAAAAGUGUUAGGAGAUGUGAGAGCAAAACAUUAGAAAUUAUUGAUAGAAUAAUUUAUUCAAUUCUCUGGCCUUUACUUCCUCACCUUCCCUCACACUCAUUUCUCUCUCUUUCUUCCCCCCUCCCUCCCUCUCUCUCUCUUUUUCAGGUACUGGGGAUUAAACCCAGAACCUUACAUAUGCUAGGCAAGUGCUCUACACUGAUCUAUUCCCCCAACCCUCCCACCUUGAAUGAUCUAUCCUACCUCAGCCAUCCACUUCUAUGAUGUUAUCUUAGACGUUACAACUACCAAAAUCUUUACCUACCGUAAAAAUAAAUUCUCGAUAUUAAGCAUCUCUCCCUCUUACAAUCCCUCCUCCACUUUGAACAGUUCUCUAACACCAUCAAGACCUCCAAAAUAUUUCCAUCAAACUUUACCACACUUUCACCUUCUCAGGUUGACUUUUUUUCUUUUUUUAGUACUGGGGAUUGAACUCAGGGCCUCCUGCCUGCCAGGCAAGUGCUCUACCUCUAAGCAAUACUCCCAACGUUUUGUAUUUUUAUAUUGAGGCAGGGUCUCACAAAGUUGCCCAGUCUGGUCUUAAAAUUUUGAGAUCCUCCUCCUUCAGCCUCCAAGAAGUUGGAAUUAUGAAAGUGCCCCCUGCAACUAGCUUCAGGUUAUCUUUGUCUCUGUGAGACUCCAUGGCCCAUCAUGCUAAUUGCAUACAUUCUCAACUCUCUUACUCCUUUCCCUCCUUCAACCCUGUUUAAAUUCAACUCUCACCUCCUUAGCAGCUGCUAGGUAGCUACAAAGUGGCUAAAGUAAUAUGACAAACUUCAAGCAGGCCCUUAAAAUUGCCUGACAGUCCUACUACAUUUUCUCAUCAACUUAAUCUACUCUCUAAGGCCACUAUCUAUAUAUCUCUCUCUCUAUAUAUAUGUAUAUAUACACACACACAUUCAUAUAUAUAUAUAUAAUGUUUUUCCUCAAACCUCCAGUGCUGCUCCUUUCUCCACAUUCACAAGGUGAUUAACUCAAUUCUGUUUCACUGAGGCAAAAACAAAGUUAAUCAGAGUUCUCCACCUGCUUUUUCUUUUUCUUUCUUUCUUUUUUUCUUAACCAGUACUAGCUCACCAGCCUUCCAUCCCCUCUUAUCUGCUCUUAGAGCCAACCUCUCCACUUAUGUGCAGGGACUUCAUCCCUGCAAUCAUCCCCUCUCUCUAAAUAACCCAGGUUUCCCCUUCCACUGGACUUUUCUGUUGGUAAGUAAUGUUAUAUUUCCAAUCUUAAAACAAGAAAAAAAAACGAAUAGUAAUAACCCCACCAUCCCUGUUAACCAGUGUCUAUUUUUAUGUAUGUGUUCACCUUUAUGGAGAAACUCCUCAAAAGCAUUGUCCUUGUCUCUACUUUUCUUCCAUUCUUUCCAGAAUAGCUUUGUCUUCAGCACUCAAUGAAACUGCCUCCCCACUCAAAAAAAAAAGGAACUGCCUUCCCAUUUUCUAAUAUGAUUGCCAACUCUCUUUCAUUAUCUUUUCCUGCUAACAUUUGACACAACUGAUCACUCCUAAAAAUGCAUUUUUAUUUAGCCUCCAGGGUACAGUAUUAUACUUGCUCUAGAGUCUACCCCAAUUUCUGAGACUGUUUUUUCUUGUUCUACUUUGCUGACUCUUCCCUUCUCCCUGUCUCCCAAAUAUUGGAGUGUCCUAGGCUAAGACUGCAGAAAUCUUUGCCAUCUACAAGCCAUUGCCUGGGGAAUCACCCUGUCUUGGUGUUUUUAAACACUUUUUGUACUCUGAUGACUUCCCCAGCCCUCACAUGCUGACACACCCUCCACUGCCCUCAGCAUUUCCCUCAUGGCUAAUGCACAUCUUACACCUAACAUGUUAGCUCCUGAUUCUUGGGCUCCCUCCUGUCUGUCUUCUUUUUCAUGGUAGAUGGCAAUUCCAUCUAUUAGUUUCUCAGGCUAAGAAUCUUGAAGUCAUCUUUGACUCCUUUUUACUCUUACACUCCCAAACUAAUUUGUCUGUAAGUUCUGUCAGUUUGGCCUUCAAGAUACAUUCAGCAGUGUACCUCUGCUGUUCCUUGCCUUCUAGACCACCAUGCCUCUGCCAGGAUGAUUGUAAUAGCCUCCUAAUCAAUCUUCCUGCACCCAUUUUUGCCCUUUAUGUUUAUUGCCAACAAAUUAGUUAAGGAUAUUCAGGGUAAAUCAGUCUCUCCUUUGCUGACAGAACUCUAAUGACUUCUCACAGGAAAACCCAAAGGCCUUACAAUGGCCUAAAAGAUGCCAUGUAAUCAGGCUCUAGUACUGUCCUUGCUCACUCUGUUCCAGCCACACUGUCCACUUCGCUGUUCCUGAGCAUACCAAGCGCUCUCCAGCCAAGGGCCUUUACACUCUUCUUGCCACUCUCCUCUCUUAGAUUUCCAUGUCACUUGCCCCCUCCAUUGUGUAGCUAUUCUACAAACACUUAUUUUAGGUACUAGAAUGCCAGGUCUUCCCCUCACCACCAAAACUCUUAUCUACUUCUGUCUAGAUUAAAAGGAAGACCAUCAUCUAUGAAACUCAAACCAAAGGAUGGUUAUAUGAGCUUAACCUUCUCUGAGAAUUUCAAUAUUGCUAGCUAGCUAACAUGAUAUUAAUCCAAACAAAUCUUGAAAAAAUUUAAGCUAGUAUACAAAGACAUAAAUAGGAAAGCAAGAGCCCAGAUGAAGUGUUCCAAUGACAUGUUAUCUAUUCUUCUACCUUUUUUUUUUUGUUUUUCAUAGCUUCUGAUUAUUUGUCUCCUUUCACUAAAAUGUAAGCUCCUUGAGGGCAGGAACUAUAUGUGUUUUUCACAGCUGUAUUUUCAGUAACUAGAACAGUGCUGACAUACAAUGUAUUCUUAAUAAAAUGAAUAUCAUGGUAUUUUAAAAAUUCACAGUCUACUUGUCUUUGGUCUUUUGGUCUCUUCUCAC